RNAcentral lists this long non-coding RNA (1279 nucleotides) under Homo sapiens (human). RNAcentral's name for it is "non-protein coding lnc-SLC38A2-1:15". The record is from RNAcentral. Lineage: Eukaryota; Metazoa; Chordata; Mammalia; Primates; Hominidae.
AAAUGUCAAUUGACUCCUCUCACUCAUAGUUGUACAAAUUACAGGGCUUUUUUUUAAUUGUCAUAAAACAUAUACAUUAUUCAUCUAUUCAGUUUCAUCUGAAGAGAAUCCAACAAAGAAGAAAUUUUAUUUUCCAAUAAAAUAUUAAAGCUGCUUUACCCCACAAGAGACAGAGCAGAAAUUCCAUCCAUGAUCUAUGUAAGUACAAAACUUUUUGCCUAUCAGAGCAUGUGUGAAUUUAAUUUUAUGAAAAUGUAGACCUGUUUUUUCCUGUUAUGCUUCAUAGUACUUGUGUAUGAAUAUGUAACAAUUUCAAUGUUUUUAUUAGUUUGUGAAGCCUUGGUACCAUGAUGACAACAAGAACAUCCUGUGCUUUUCCUAGCAAAUAUUGACUUAGAAGGACACUGUUGAUAUUUGUGCUGCAUCCUUAAUGGAAAGCACGUACAUAUUACAAGAUUUGUUUCCCUCUAAUGUAAAUACAGUGGAGCAGAAAAUUCAAGUGGUGAUUAUACACACGUCAUUACCUUUGCCUCUGGGUUAUGGAUUGAACUAGAACCCAGGUUAAGGUCAUCAUGACCCCCCCCCACCCCGCCCCUUAUCGGGCACUUCUAUCACUAAUGAAAAGAGGGUGUGCCAAGCUCAACACACACACACAUCUUUCUAAUUAACAGAAUCCCGCUCUGAUUCAUAAAAGUCCUAUCUAAAAGGGAGGGAGAAAUGAUGUUAGCAUUGAUACAGAGGUACAUGUCAGCUCAGUGCACAAACAUAGGUAAAUUAUGUAAGGAUAAAUCUUUCUCUUUUCCAGGAGACAGUUCACCACUCUCCCUCUGUAAAAGGAUUGUGGGAGACACAUAGGUAGUAAGGAGAAACCUCCAUCUAUCUCCCAACGAACCUCUGUGUCCCCAUGUUCCACCCAACUCUCCAUGAUUGAAUAAUUAAGCCCUUAAGUAGUUACCAUAUGUCCUUAAAUAGUUACAAUCAACCUCAAAUGAAAACACUCAGCAAAAAAAAGAUGUGGGAUCAAUGCUCUUGGUCCAAAGAUAAAAGAUACAUUAUGAAAAACAUAGGAAUGACUUUAUAAACAAAACAGAACUUUCUCAACAAUCUUAUUAACCAAUACUCUUUCAUCGUAAGUGAUCACGGUUAUUUGGCGUCAGAAGCAAAAUAUGGAGAGAUCUUUCUGCAGACAAGUGGAGACAAGGCACAAUAAAGGGAGAGUUAGGUGUGUAAAGAAAGUGAUGAAAUGGACAUACUUUAGUGUUUAAUUCAUAAGGAAGAA